RNAcentral lists this ribosomal RNA (250 nucleotides) under uncultured bacterium. RNAcentral's name for it is "partial 16S ribosomal RNA". It matches the Rfam family "Bacterial small subunit ribosomal RNA", at positions 524 to 773 of the family's 1533-position model. The record is from RNAcentral.
UACGGAGGGUGCGAGCGUUGUUCGGAAUUACUGGGCGUAAAGGGCGCGUAGGCGGCAUGGCAAGUCAGAUGUGAAAGCCCCGGGCUUAACUCGGGAAUUGCAUCUGGAACUGCUUUGCUUGAGUCCUGGAGGGGGUAGUGGAAUUCCCAGUGUAGCGGUGAAAUGCGUAGAUAUUGGGAGGAACACCGGUGGCGAAGGCGGCUACCUGGACAGUGACUGACGCUGAGGCGCGAAAGCUAGGGGAGCAAAC